UACGUAGGGUGCGAGCGUUAAUCGGAAUUACUGGGCGUAAAGUGUGCGCAGGUGGCCGCGCAAGUCGAGUGUGAAAUCCCCGAGCUUAACUUGGGAAUUGCGCUCGAAACUACGUGGCUCGAGUGUGGCAGAGGAAGGUGGAAUUCCACGUGUAGCGGUGAAAUGCGUAGAGAUCCGGAAGAACACCGGUGGCGAAGGCGGCCUGCUGGGACGUGGCUGACGCUGAGGCGCGACAGCAUGGGGAGCGAACGGG
This 253-nucleotide ribosomal RNA is filed under the name uncultured bacterium. RNAcentral describes it as "partial 16S ribosomal RNA". It matches the Rfam family "Bacterial small subunit ribosomal RNA", at positions 524 to 776 of the family's 1533-position model. The record is from RNAcentral.